UAAAAGAAAAAUGAAUGCAAAUAAAAUCAUUAUCAAUAAGAGCAAUAGCUAUCAUAUUUGCUACACAUUGAUAUGGGACUUGAUUACUAUUCAACAUAAUUUUAAAAUAAUUUCUUUCUUUACUCUAUAGAAGAUAGAAGUCUGAUUUAAAAGAUAUAUUGUUUCGUUCAGAUCAAACGAUGGUGACAGUAAUAUUAAUUUAUAUAUAAUAUAUUAUAUAUAUUAUAUAUAAUUUAUAUUAUAAUGUUUUAGAAUAAGUGUUACGUACCUACACACAUCAUCCACUUUAUUUAAUCUAAACGGGGUAUUCAUACUUAUGGAAUUUUGACACAAGAUUUCAACAAUUCGUAAACAACCAUAUGAUAACAUUCUUCUCGAAAAAUUUCAAUGGAUAAGGAGCAAUAAAAGAUGUUUCGAAUAAUGAUCAAAACAACAAACUGAAUACAGACGAGGAACUACAAACCUGCAAUGCCGCAUAAUAAUCCUCAUUCAUAUAAUCAACUCGAUUUGGGAUCUCUAUUUCAUUUGUACUUUUUUGUUUCUCUUGCUUAAAAUAAAAAGAUACGAUUAAUGAA
Molecule: long non-coding RNA, 575 nt
Filed under: Polistes fuscatus (common paper wasp)
Lineage: Eukaryota; Metazoa; Arthropoda; Insecta; Hymenoptera; Vespidae
Description: uncharacterized LOC122513378
Source: RNAcentral